AUGCCACACCACUUCCAGAUUUGGGUAAGCAAAUCAGUCACCCUUUUUGUUCUAAUAUGCUCAAUGGAAUAUCUGGCUCCAGCUAAUGCAGUCCAAAUGACAUAACUUCCAAUUAUGAAUGCAUAAAGAUCAUUGCACUUGAUGCCAUGAGUUAUUGGGAGAAAAGGGAUGGCAUUGAAAAGGGCACGCCCAAGUGAUAUUGGUACAACUAUCAAGGCAGAGUUGAAGAUAAGUAGAGUCAUCCAAGCUACAACCAGCAAGAGGACAAUGCGA
Molecule: unclassified non-coding RNA, 273 nt
Filed under: Hevea brasiliensis (rubber tree)
Lineage: Eukaryota; Viridiplantae; Streptophyta; Magnoliopsida; Malpighiales; Euphorbiaceae
Source: RNAcentral